Amborella trichopoda is the source of this 712-nucleotide long non-coding RNA. RefSeq lists it as uncharacterized. The record is from RefSeq and is a predicted model, not a curated record. Lineage: Eukaryota; Viridiplantae; Streptophyta; Magnoliopsida; Amborellales; Amborellaceae.
AUUAAAGUCCCCGUGCCAUUGGUUGAAACCUCAAUAAAUUUCAACCAAAUCCCUUCCUCCUGCCUCUGCGAAGCAGAGAUCUUCACUGAGAAGCUCGUUCUCUCUCGCUCGCCAUUGUCUCUUCGGGGGGACUACAAAUGCUCUGCGCCCUCUCUCUCUAAAUUUUUGCCGCUCUCUUUCCUCAUUUGCUCUAGGAAUUUCAGCCAUACCCCCUCCUCCUGUGUGCUCUGCGAACCAGAGAGCUUCACUGGGAAGCUCCCUCUCUCUUGCUCGCCAUCGUUUCUCCGAGGGAUUACAAAUGCUCUACAUCCUCUCUCUCUAAAUUUCAGCCACACUACCUCCUCAUUCGCUCUAGUAAGCUUGUUUUGGAUGUUGGCAUCUCAAGGAGGCAGCAUGCGGAGAAAAACCCAACUCAAGACGAAUCAGGAUUAGGGCACUGAAAUCGAGAUCAAUACGACUUUUGAAUACAUGCUCAAAAGGACGGCCUUUUCUACAUCAUUCAAAUGGAAAAGUGAAACUUCAAGAAGCAAAAAGAAAUAAAUUACUUGUUGGUGGUUGAGUCGGUUCAUUUGGGUUAACCUUUUUUAAGCUUCAUUUGUAUAUGGUUGUUUCCUAUUUCAUGAGGUAUUUAACCUCCUUGUAUCUUUCCAGUUGUUUGUAAAUGAUUGUAAUUGGCCAUUGUUUAAUUAAUGGUAAUAUUUUAUGAAUCAAA